AUACGGAGGGUGCAAGCGUUGUCCGGAUUUAUUGGGUUUAAAGGGUGCGUAGGUGGUUUUUAAGUCAGUGGUGAAAGCCUACAGCUUAACUGUAGAGGUGCCAUUGAUACUGGGGAACUUGAGUAUGGACGAGGUAGGCGGAAUUUGUGGUGUAGCGGUGAAAUGCAUAGAUACCACAAGGAACACCGAUAGCGAAGGCAGCUUACUGGGCCAUAACUGACACUGAGGCACGAAAGCGUGGGGAGCGAACAGGAUUAGAAACCCUUGUAGUCC
This 273-nucleotide ribosomal RNA is filed under the name uncultured bacterium. RNAcentral's name for it is "partial 16S ribosomal RNA". It matches the Rfam family "Bacterial small subunit ribosomal RNA", at positions 523 to 796 of the family's 1533-position model. The record is from RNAcentral.